Molecule: ribosomal RNA, 62 nt
Filed under: Maxillaria uniflora
Lineage: Eukaryota; Viridiplantae; Streptophyta; Magnoliopsida; Asparagales; Orchidaceae
Description: Sauvetrea laevilabris partial 26S ribosomal RNA
Source: RNAcentral
GCGACCCCAGGAUUGGCGAGGCCACCCGCCGAGUUUAAGCAUAUCAAUAAGCGGAGGAGAAG